Molecule: ribosomal RNA, 308 nt
Filed under: uncultured bacterium
Lineage: Bacteria
Description: bacterial SSU rRNA
Rfam family: Bacterial small subunit ribosomal RNA
Source: RNAcentral
AGAACGAACGCUGGCGGCAGGCCUAACACAUGCAAGUCGAACGAGAUCUUCGGAUCUAGGUGGCGGACGGGUGAGUAACGCGUGGGAACGUGCCCUUCUCUACGGAAUAGUCCUGGGAAACUGGGUUUAAUACCGGUAUACGCCCUUCGGGGGAAAGAAUUUCGGGGAAGAUCGGCCCGCGUUGGAUUAGGUAGUUGGUAGGGGUAACUGGCCUACCAAGCCGACGAUCCAUAGCUGGUUUGAGAGGAUGAUCAGCCACACUGGACUGAGACACGGCCCAGACUCCUACGGAAGCAGCAGUGGGGAAU